Molecule: ribosomal RNA, 254 nt
Filed under: uncultured bacterium
Lineage: Bacteria
Description: partial 16S ribosomal RNA
Rfam family: Bacterial small subunit ribosomal RNA
Source: RNAcentral
UACGUAGGGUGCGAGCGUUGUCCGGAAUUAUUGGGCGUAAAGAGCUCGUAUGCGGUGUGUCGCGUCGGCCGUGAAAACCUGGGGCUUAACUCUGGGCGUGCGGUCGAUACGGGCAUCACUAGAGUUCGGCAGGGGAGACUGGAAUUCCUGGUGUAGCGGUGAAAUGCGCAGAUAUCAGGAGGAACACCGGUGGCGAAGGCGGGUCUCUGGGCCGAUACUGACGCUGAGGAGCGAAAGCAUGGGUAGCGAACAGG